This is a long non-coding RNA of Lethenteron reissneri (Far Eastern brook lamprey), 183 nucleotides long. RefSeq lists it as uncharacterized. Lineage: Eukaryota; Metazoa; Chordata; Hyperoartia; Petromyzontiformes; Petromyzontidae. The record is from RefSeq and is a predicted model, not a curated record.
GCACGAUUCACAGGGCUCAGGUACCUGAUGUAUUACUUCCCCGUGACGUGCGCACUUGUCGGAGUUGUGAGUAACUUCUCGUUCCUGCUCGUGGCCGCGCUGCUCUCCUACCUCCAGUGGGGGGGGGGCAGGCCCCCUGACAACAUCCGCGUGCAGGUGGACUUCAGGGAGGGAGUGACCCCC